Vigna unguiculata (cowpea) is the source of this 553-nucleotide long non-coding RNA. Lineage: Eukaryota; Viridiplantae; Streptophyta; Magnoliopsida; Fabales; Fabaceae. The record is from RefSeq and is a predicted model, not a curated record.
AUUUCCUUUCUCUAAAAUUGAUGAAGAAAAUAUUAGAAAGAACGUAAAAGUUUCUUCUUCUCCAUUCCAAGUUGAAGAAGAUCAAUCAGGGAAAUAUGGAAGAUUGAAGCUGUAAGAUUUUCCAAGAAAAGGAACAAAGGAACAAAGACACAUUUGCAAAACAGAAAGCUCUUUUUCUUACAAUUCUAUCUUUGGAAACUUCCUGUGACAUCUCCAAAGACAUGUUGAAUGGCACUAUAAGAAAAAUACAAAGAAUCUCACAUCAAGGAAAGACAUGGAACAUCACAUCUUGUUUUGGAUGUGUAGUGUAUACAUAUAUUCUUUAUCAAAGGGUUGAAGUCAUUAUAUUUGCUUUCUUAUAAAAAAAUAAAAAUUAAGAAUAUAAACUGUGUGACACUAGUUCUCAGUCUUCUGCAUCAUUGAUGCAUAAUGCAGAGUAAAGAGAUGCUUUAGUAUUCAUAAACAAUUGCAAAGAGCAGCUUCAAUAUGUGAAGUUUUCUGAAAAUAUGAAAGUACAAAAGUUAUUAACAUUAGCAUUACAAACAAACAUGAA